CCCUACUUACACUGUUGUUUUUGGCUCGUAUUUCUCCUUCCUGUUUUCCCAGUUGCUAACUGAUGACAUACGACUCCAGAGCCUUCUGAUGUCAGGACUGCGCGGCCAAACGUUUGAUUUUUCAGCUGGCUAACACUUGUCAGAGCAAAUCAAAGCGUUUGAAGCUGCUGAUGAGAACGGUAACCUUUCACAGCGAAUCGGCCGCUGUCUCUCUCCAUCGGUUAGUCGUUAGUCCAACCAGCUGUCAGCGCUGGCGUGGGCGCCCCGGUCCCUGUGACUGGACAUGGAACCAGACUUCUUCCUCGCCGGAUGCUGGUGACCGAGGACGUGCUCAGCAUGUGUACAGAAUGUGUAGGGCCAGGGACGGCAGAAACCAGCCGCUCGAACCUCUGCUAAUAUCGCUUUCUCACGUCUCCUUUUUAUCGUGAUGAAUGAGGCGCGCUGGAUCGAGAGUGGCAGUUCUGUUGAGCAAGUCUUUAGACAUAUUAGAUGCUGUAGCAUCUCUUUGACGCUAAUACUCUACCUAAAGAAUUAUGGUUGUCCAUCCGUCAAUGCCACUACAGAUACAAUUAUGUCCACUGCACAUCUAUACUUCUUAAUACUGUUGUGUUGAUUUAUCCCAUUUGUCAAAUAAUAAAAAAACUAUGCAAAGGCAAAAACAGAA
Molecule: long non-coding RNA, 664 nt
Organism: Anguilla anguilla (European eel)
Lineage: Eukaryota; Metazoa; Chordata; Actinopteri; Anguilliformes; Anguillidae
Exons: 2
Source: RefSeq, a predicted model, not a curated record